AGAGUUUGAUUAUGGCUCAGGACGAACGCUGGCGGCGCGCUUAACACAUGCAAGUCGAACGGACUAAGAUUUGAGCUUGCUUAAUUCUUAGUUAGUGGCGGACGGGUGAGUAACACGUGAACAACCUGUCCCUAAGCCCGGGACAACAGCUCGAAAGGGUUGCUAAUACCGGAUGAGUUUAUGAAUGCGCAUGCAUUUAUAAACAAAGGGUUACCGCUUAGGGAGGGGUUCGCGGCCCAUCAGCUAGUUGGUGAGGUAACGGCUCACCAAGGCAACGACGGGUAGCCGGCCUGAGAGGGUGGUCGGCCACACUGGGACUGAGACACGGCCCAGACUCCUACGGGAGGCAGCAGUGGGGAAUCUUCCGCAAUGGGCGAAAGCCUGACGGAGCGACGCCGCGUGGGUGAAGAAGGCCUUCGGGUCGUAAAGCCCUGUCUAGGGGGACGAUAAUGACGGUACCCCUAGAGGAAGCCCCGGCUAACUACGUGCCAGCAGCAGC
This 499-nucleotide ribosomal RNA is filed under the name uncultured bacterium. RNAcentral describes it as "bacterial SSU rRNA". It matches the Rfam family "Bacterial small subunit ribosomal RNA", at positions 8 to 518 of the family's 1533-position model. The record is from RNAcentral.